Molecule: long non-coding RNA, 993 nt
Organism: Lytechinus pictus (painted urchin)
Lineage: Eukaryota; Metazoa; Echinodermata; Echinoidea; Temnopleuroida; Toxopneustidae
Exons: 2
Source: RefSeq, a predicted model, not a curated record
GCACUACUUAUGCGAGUUAGAAAUCUACACGUAGCUCUCUCCGUAUGGUUCAUACGUCGUCCGUUGUUUGCUUCUAAUUUGGAGACAGUUCCUCGAUAAUCAUGGUGUGUUGUCCCUGCUUUCUCGUUCCUCUUAUUUUGUGGAUAUUUUACCGGUUUAUUCAACCCUUUGUCAACCCACUUUUGCCCGAAAGAGUCAAAUCCUGGUUCAAUUUCGGAGUGACGAAAGGCUCCGCCGUAGCGGGCGAAGGCUGCUGUGAAGCUGAGGCUGUGCAAUCACAGAAUCAACAUGGAACAGGAAAGGAAAAUGAGCGUACCGGUAAUCAAGAAUCCACAAUGAAAACUGGUUGCCCUUUCAAACCUAUUAGUGUUCAAGCAACAACGGUCGGAGGUGAUAAAAAGACUGACUAGUCCUUACUCCCAGGUCCUCUCUCUUAAGCUGAUAUCAAAGGACAAUUUUGUUGAAUCGUGAUUCGUGAUCAACAUGUGAAUUCCAAGAAGAAUGAGACCAUUAAGACAGCAAGAACUCAGACAUGGAUGAGCUGUUCUGGACUUGGACUUAAACCUUUGUAUUUGGAUGCAUGUUAUGUCUUCUUCUAGGUUAGAUGGUCUUGGUGGGUCAGCAUCACACUUGCACUUCACUGGUUCACAUCUCCAAUACCUAUCCCACCUUUUUUUUAAAGUUGUGGACACUGGGUGCAUUCACUAAACCACCAGCAUAAUGUUAUAAAAGAUAUAUUAUUGGUGCCUUUGAACCUACAUAGUCAUAAACAUACUACCGGACUAGUACCGGUAAGUAACUUGAUCAGUCAUUAUCACAUUUUCACACCCCAAAUCAACAUCCAUUUUCCCUCUUUUUUUUUUAUUGUUUAUUUAUGAAGAGCCCCACACAAAUCUUGAAAAGGGGGUAAAUUAAUUACUUGGAGGGGAUGUCUGUACAAGUAUGCACAGGCUCCAUUUUUCCUUCAAAAAGAAAACUGGAUAUCUGGGAUUU